RNAcentral lists this ribosomal RNA (572 nucleotides) under uncultured bacterium. Its description in RNAcentral is "bacterial SSU rRNA". It matches the Rfam family "Bacterial small subunit ribosomal RNA", at positions 58 to 651 of the family's 1533-position model. The record is from RNAcentral.
CAAGUCGAGCGCUCGUAGCAAUACGAGAGCGGCAUGACGGGAGAGUAACACGUGGGAACGUACCCUUCAGUUCGGAACAAUGCCAGUGAAACUUGGAUUAACUACCUGCGAUACGUCCGUAAGGAGAAGAGAUUUAUCCGCUCGAAGUGAUCGAGCCCGCCGUCCGAUUAGCUAGUUGAGUGAGUGUAAGCGGCCCGACCAAGGCUGACGAUCGGAUACCUGGAUCUGAGAGAGAUGAUCAGCCUCACUGGGACUGAGACACUGGCCCAGACUCCUACGGGAGGCAGCAGUGGGGAAUAUUGGACAAUGGGCGCAAUGCCUGAUCCAGCCAUGCCGCGUGGGAAUGAAGGCCUUAGGGUUGUAAAGCCCUUUCGGCGGGGAAGGAUAAUGACGGUACCCGCAGUAAGAAGCCCCGGCUAACUUCGUGCCAGCGAGCCGCGGUAAUACGAAGGGGGCUAGCGUUGCUCGGAAUCACUGGGCGUAAAGCGCACGUAGGCGGCUUGCUAAGUCGGGGGUGAAAUCCUGGAGCUCAACUCCAGAACUGCCUUCGAUACUGGCGAGCUUGAGUCCGG